This 540-nucleotide ribosomal RNA is filed under the name uncultured bacterium. RNAcentral describes it as "bacterial SSU rRNA". It matches the Rfam family "Bacterial small subunit ribosomal RNA", at positions 777 to 1317 of the family's 1533-position model. The record is from RNAcentral.
AAUAGAUACCCGGGUAGUCCACGCCGUAAACGAUGUCGACUUGGAGGUUGUUCCCUUGAGGAGUGGCUUCCGGAGCUAACGCGUUAAGUCGACCGCCUGGGGAGUACGGCCGCAAGGUUAAAACUCAAAUGAAUUGACGGGGGCCCGCACAAGCGGUGGAGCAUGUGGUUUAAUUCGAUGCAACGCGAAGAACCUUACCUACUCUUGACAUCCAGAGAACUUUCCAGAGAUGGAUUGGUGCCUUCGGGAACUCUGAGACAGGUGCUGCAUGGCUGUCGUCAGCUCGUGUUGUGAAAUGUUGGGUUAAGUCCCGCAACGAGCGCAACCCUUAUCCUUUGUUGCCAGCGGUUCGGCCGGGAACUCAAAGGAGACUGCCAGUGAUAAACUGGAGGAAGGUGGGGAUGACGUCAAGUCAUCAUGGCCCUUACGAGUAGGGCUACACACGUGCUACAAUGGCGUAUACAAAGAGAAGCGACCUCGCGAGAGCAAGCGGACCUCAUAAAGUACGUCGUAGUCCGGAUUGGAGUCUGCAACUCGACU